This 1113-nucleotide long non-coding RNA is filed under the name Salmo salar (Atlantic salmon). RNAcentral describes it as "lncRNA (ENSSSAG00000101559.1, ENSSSAG00020052062.1, ENSSSAG00075050854.1)". The record is from RNAcentral. Lineage: Eukaryota; Metazoa; Chordata; Actinopteri; Salmoniformes; Salmonidae.
GUUAAAUCCUGCUGCAAAGUCACUGGUGUGCUCCUCCGUAUCCAGGCCUCGUUCUACGAGCAAACUCUCAUCAUCUUGGGGGACGUCACCCAUCCCCUCCAUUCUCAGUUGAAGUCAUGCCACUGGGGUGGCGCCUGCGCUGCAUUAAGUGCUCUACUAACCGCCACAGAGCAACGUUUAUGCCAGAGGCCUAUUCAACAAGCUGGGACAAUGAUCAGGAUAUGGCGAUUUGUAGUUCAUGGUGGCAUUGACGGUUUUAGCCAUCUAAUCGUGUACCUCAGCGCCGCCACCAACAACCGGGCCUCAACGGUGAUGAACCGCUUCCUUGAAGCAGUCAACACCUAUGGAGUGCCAUCACGCGUUAGGUCUGACAAAGGAGGAGAAAAUGUUCAAGUGGCACACUUCAUGGUGUCCACCAGAGGUCUAAACAGGGAAUUCCCAUCUCACUGGUAGAAGUACACACAACCAGAGGAUAGAAGGACUGUGGAGGGAUGUCUUUGAGGGAGUGUUUGCCUUCUUCUAGACUUCUAUCUGCAACCCGGAGAGGGAGGGUGUACUCAACCUAGAUGAAGAGAUCCACAUCUAUACCCUGCACUGGAGCUGCCUUCCACAAAUCCAAAGGCACCUGCAGUUCUUCAAGGACGGCUGGAACCACCAUCGACUGCGCUCUGAGGGGAAUCAGUCACCACUGCAGCUAUGGAUUCAGAAUCAACGUGAGGGAUAUCAUGACCCGUCCAGGUUGACAUGGAAUACGGCCUUGACUGGGGAGGUCCUUAUGGUCACUAUCAUGAAGGAGUCACAGUCCCUGAGGUUCAGCUUCCACGGCCAUUGACUGACAUGGAAGUGCACACAUUGCCAGAUGCGCAAGGUUCUUUUUCCAACGUCUUAAAUGUCUAUAGUGAGACAGUUGCCAUAUUAUCAGAUAUAAUUGGAGAUGUUUAAAAGCCCGGGUCUGAGAAUUGAAUUGAUUUUAGUAUUUGGAUUGGUCAAACUAUCUCCAAGAGAAUUUCAAAUUCUGAUAGUUUCUAUGUAACAGCAAAUUCUGUUUGAGCUGUUUUGGCUGUUCUCACUGAGUCAUUCACACUGAGAGCAGGUCGGAGUCUGGGAGUCCCC